GCACGUUCUAAGUUGGUGGGGGGAUGGAAUAGCCAGCUGCUUGCAGCUUGUUUUUAUCGGCACAUUUACAGGACAAAGGACGCUGGCGGAGAAGUGAGAACGGUUUUAAGAAGCGAUUUAAGGUGGGCCGGAUCUACGAGUUUUUUCGUAGGCUCUGGUAAUUCUAGUGUUAAAGAAUUUCUGC
Long non-coding RNA from Erpetoichthys calabaricus (reedfish), 184 nucleotides. RefSeq lists it as uncharacterized. NCBI's taxonomy places the organism in Eukaryota, Metazoa, Chordata, Cladistia, Polypteriformes, Polypteridae. The record is from RefSeq and is a predicted model, not a curated record. The transcript has 2 exons.